Molecule: ribosomal RNA, 433 nt
Filed under: uncultured bacterium
Lineage: Bacteria
Description: partial 16S ribosomal RNA
Rfam family: Bacterial small subunit ribosomal RNA
Source: RNAcentral
AGCGAACGCUGGCGGCAGGCUUAACACAUGCAAGUCGAGCGGGCCCUUCGGGGUCAGCGGCAGACGGGUGAGUAACGCGUGGGAACGUACCCUUUGGUUCGGAAUAACGCUGGGAAACUAGCGCUAAUACCGGAUACGCCCUUUUGGGGAAAGGCUUGCUGCCGAAGGAUCGGCCCGCGUCUGAUUAGCUAGUUGGUGGGGUAAUGACCUACCAAGGCGACGAUCAGUAGCUGGUCUGAGAGGAUGAUCAGCCACACUGGGACUGAGACACGGCCCAGACUCCUACGGGAGGCAGCAGUGGGGAAUAUUGGACAAUGGGCGCAAGCCUGAUCCAGCCAUGCCGCGUGAGUGAUGAAGGCCUUAGGGUUGUAAAGCUCUUUUGUCCGGGACGAUAAUGACGGUACCGGAAGAAUAAGCCCCGGCUAACUUCGUG